Molecule: small RNA, 590 nt
Filed under: Pan troglodytes (chimpanzee)
Lineage: Eukaryota; Metazoa; Chordata; Mammalia; Primates; Hominidae
Description: processed transcript
Source: RNAcentral
CUUUUUGCACACACACGAAUACAAAGAGCCAUACGACCUUCGGGUAUCCUUUUUCCAUUUUUUUUCCUCCUUAAUCUUGUGUGUGUUUUCAAAUUUUUAAAAAAUAGAGAUCUGUAGCAGUGUUGGGAAUGUCUUACUACCCUAUCAGUUCAUCCUAUACAUUGCUCAAGGCUCAACUGGAAGCUUUUCUUCUUUUCAGGUUUAGCUGUGUCUCCCAGUGACUAUAAUGACAAGGAAGCUGUAAAUGUAUUUGAGUUAAGUUUUUGCGAGAAGUUGCACUAGUCGGGGGUUCCAUGCUGGGGGGCAGAAGGAAUGCUCUCUACCCUCUGAAACCGUUCAUCAGGAAGGCCUUGAUUUGUGAUGUGCUAGGAGAGCACAGGAUCUGCAAAUAGAAGGCACCUGUCUUCCUUCUGCAGGCCGAGGAGAGGCCGCCAUGGACUGUGUGCUUCUUCAUGGCUUGUCUACUCUUCUUUCACAGACCCUACAGCUUGGGGCCUGGGCUCCUCUGACCAUCCUCAUUGAGAAAGGAAAGUGAGUCCAGAGAAGUCGAUGCUUCCUACCUGUUGGAGCGGCCCAGCAGUGUAAGCGUG